RNAcentral lists this ribosomal RNA (352 nucleotides) under uncultured bacterium. RNAcentral's name for it is "bacterial SSU rRNA". It matches the Rfam family "Bacterial small subunit ribosomal RNA", at positions 976 to 1326 of the family's 1533-position model. The record is from RNAcentral.
GGGGCUUGACGUGUACUGGAAGUGCGUAGAGAUACGUUCCGCCCUUCGGGGCUAGUACAUCAGGUGCUGCACGGCUGUCGUCAGCUCGUGUCGUGAGAUGUUGGGUUAAGUCCUCUAACGAGCGCAACCCCUGUCCACAGUUGCCAUCAGGUAAUGCUGGGAGCUCUGCGGAGACUGCUGGUGAUAAACCGGAGGAAGGUGGGGACGACGUCAAGUCAUCGUGGCCCUUAUGUCCCGGGCUGCAAACGUGCUACAAUGGCUGGUACAAAGGGAAGCAAUGCCGCGAGGUGGAGCAAAUCUCAUAAAACCAGCCUCAGUUCGGAUUGUAGUCUGCAACUCGACUGCAUGAAGU